CAAAGCUGAAACUUAAAGGAAUUGACGGAAGGGCACCACCAGGAAUGGAGCCUGCGGCUUAAUUUGACUCAACACGGGAAAACUUACCCGGCCCGGACACAGGAAGGAUUGACAGAUUAAGAGCUCUUUCUUGAUUCUGUGGGUGGUGGUGCAUGGCCGUUCUUAGUUGGUGGAGCGAUUUGUCUGGUUAAUUCCGAUAACGAACGAGACUCUAGCCUACUAAAUAGACGUUCCGAUCAUCUCCGUCGGACGUUCUUCUUAGAGGGACAAGCGGCGUUUAGCCGCACGAGACAGAGCAAUAACAGGUCUGUGAUGCCCUUAGAUGUCCGGGGCCGCACGCGCGCUACAUUGAAGGAAUCAGCGUGUGCUUUCCCUGUCCGACAGGACUGGGUAACCCGUUGAACCUCCUUCGUGCUGGGGAUAGGGGCUUGUAAUUGUUCCCCUUGAACGAGGAAUUCCCAGUAAGCACGAGUCAUAAGCUCGUGUUGAUUACGUCCCUGCCCUUUGUACACACCGCCCGUCGCUACUACCGAUUGAAUGAUUUAGUGAGGUCUUCGGACUGGCGCUCGGAGCGGCCCCCGGGUCGCGCCGGCGUGCCGGAAAGAUGACCAAACUUGAUCAUUUAGAGGAAGUAAA
Molecule: ribosomal RNA, 636 nt
Filed under: Pseudomicrommata longipes
Lineage: Eukaryota; Metazoa; Arthropoda; Arachnida; Araneae; Sparassidae
Description: SSU rRNA
Rfam family: Eukaryotic small subunit ribosomal RNA
Source: RNAcentral